This is a long non-coding RNA of Vicia villosa (hairy vetch), 468 nucleotides long. RefSeq lists it as uncharacterized. The transcript is spliced from 2 exons. The record is from RefSeq and is a predicted model, not a curated record. Lineage: Eukaryota; Viridiplantae; Streptophyta; Magnoliopsida; Fabales; Fabaceae.
AUAGAUUCUCACUUAAUAAAACAUCAUCAUUAUUGAAAGUUUAACAUUUUUAAUCUCAAAACUAAAGACAUGAAAAGUGUAUUCAUUAUUUUGCUUAUUCUUUCCAUUCAUUUUGGAAAUCAAGUGGAAAUGUUAGAGGCAAAACAAUGUAAUAAAAUUGUACCUGGUUUAUGUCGUAAGUCUGGAAGAAGUGUUCAAUGCAAAAUACAAUGCAAGUCAUUAUGUGGAACAUUUUCUGCACGUGGAGAAUGUGGGAGAGACAAAGAUUGUCAUUGUAGUUGUUGUUAAAUUAAUUAGUUAUAUAAUGAUGAAAAUAUAAUAAAGUCUCCUGAUAUAAUAGAGACAAGAUAUAAUGUAAAGUAUGUAUGAUAGAUGUAUGAUAUCACAUAGACAUGAUAAUUAUAUAGCAUCAUGUGUUUAAUGUGCAUGUAAUAUCAAAUAGUAACUAGUAAUAUAUUUUUUAUAGUA